Molecule: ribosomal RNA, 975 nt
Filed under: human gut metagenome
Description: bacterial SSU rRNA
Rfam family: Bacterial small subunit ribosomal RNA
Source: RNAcentral
AGAGUUUGAUCCUGGCUCAGGACGAACGCUGGCGGCGUGCCUAAUACAUGCAAGUCGAGCGAGUCUGCCUUGAAGAUCGGAGUGCUUGCACUCUGUGAAACAAGAUACAGGCUAGCGGCGGACGGGUGAGUAACACGUGGGUAACCUGCCCAAGAGAUCGGGAUAACACCUGGAAACAGAUGCUAAUACCGGAUAACAACAGAUGAUGCCUAUCAACUGUUUAAAAGAUGGUUCUGCUAUCACUCUUGGAUGGACCUGCGGUGCAUUAGCUAGUUGGUAGGGUAACGGCCUACCAAGGCGAUGAUGCAUAGCCGAGUUGAGAGACUGAUCGGCCACAUUGGGACUGAGACACGGCCCAAACUCCUACGGGAGGCAGCAGUAGGGAAUCUUCCACAAUGGACGCAAGUCUGAUGGAGCAACGCCGCGUGAGUGAAGAAGGGUUUCGGCUCGUAAAGCUCUGUUGUUGGUGAAGAAGGACAGGGGUAGUAACUGACCUUUGUUUGACGGUAAUCAAUUAGAAAGUCACGGCUAACUACGUGCCAGCAGCCGCGGUAAUACGUAGGUGGCAAGCGUUGUCCGGAUUUAUUGGGCGUAAAGCGAGUGCAGGCGGCUCGAUAAGUCUGAUGUGAAAGCCUUCGGCUCAACCGGAGAAUUGCAUCAGAAACUGUCGAGCUUGAGUACAGAAGAGGAGAGUGGAACUCCAUGUGUAGCGGUGAAAUGCGUAGAUAUAUGGAAGAACACCGGUGGCGAAGGCGGCUCUCUGGUCUGUUACUGACGCUGAGGCUCGAAAGCAUGGGUAGCGAACAGGAUUAGAUACCCUGGUAGUCCAUGCCGUAAACGAUGAGUGCUAAGUGUUGGGAGGUUUCCGCCUCUCAGUGCUGCAGCUAACGCAUUAAGCACUCCGCCUGGGGAGUACGACCGCAAGGUUGAAACUCAAAGGAAUUGACGGGGGCCCGCACAAGCGGUGGAGCAUGU